Molecule: long non-coding RNA, 776 nt
Organism: Fundulus heteroclitus (mummichog)
Lineage: Eukaryota; Metazoa; Chordata; Actinopteri; Cyprinodontiformes; Fundulidae
Exons: 3
Source: RefSeq, a predicted model, not a curated record
UGCUUUGAUUACCUCCACAGGUGGUGGCUGAAGGGGCGUGCCCCACACCUGCAGCUCGUCAGAGGCAGCUUCCUCUGGUUUCUUAAGUGGAGCACGGACGGACGGAAGAUGCCAGAGCCUUAACCAGUCAUGUUUUUAUGUGCAUGGAUGCACUCACCCGUCUUGAAGCCCUGAAGAUAUUUUUGAACAUGUGGAAUCAUCAGCUCAGAUUUUGCUCUGGUGCUCCCCCUUGUACUCCCUUGGCGUUACCAAGAUGGGCUCGAGGUUUCCCCCUCCCGGAUUCCACAGACUUCUCCAGGAUUCCUGAACUCUGGUUAAUCCGUCUGUUGCUCCCGUCAGUUGAGGUUUGCUUCGGAUUCCUCGCCAGCUCCAUCUGCCGCCCUCCAGAAACCACCCCACCAUCUAGAGUAGGCACACAAGGUUCCCGAGGCGCUACUCUUCCCCAGUUAGGUCUCUCCUGCUACAUGUCAACCCCGCUUUGACGUUCAGGCCUCGUCCAGGCGAUUAUAUUCUUGCUUCAUUUACUGCCUGUUUAUUCCCCGACUGAGCUUAAUAAAGAACAGUGUUAAUAUUGUGUUUGUUUGUUGGUUCUUCUUGAGGAUUUAGGACAGUUUUAAUUACAAAAAACAAAAUGAUUCAUAAUGACUCAGACUGCUCAACUGUAUUAAUCUGAACUUCAGUCCUUAGCUAGAACUAGACAACAGUAGUGGCACUUUUUUCCCUCCAGUGUGUGGCCUAGACUCCCGGACACACACAACUGGCAAUCAACACGCACA